Sinocyclocheilus grahami is the source of this 329-nucleotide long non-coding RNA. RefSeq lists it as uncharacterized. Lineage: Eukaryota; Metazoa; Chordata; Actinopteri; Cypriniformes; Cyprinidae. The record is from RefSeq and is a predicted model, not a curated record. The transcript has 3 exons.
CUUUCAGUAUCAAAUUCAUUGAGUCUUUCUUUCCUUAAACAGCAGCACAAAGCAGAGAGGAGACAAAGGCUAGAGGAGAUGGAACGGUUCCAGGGAAGAUGAGUGAACAUAUAUACGAGAAUGACAAACAUGAAAAUGUGUAUGAGAAUGUAAAACUUGAAGAUUCAAGAAGGCCAAGGGCUCCUACUCCUCCUCAGGUAUCAAACCCUCCUCCUGUGCGCGGGUGAGGAAGUGAAAACACUGAAAAGCAUCUACGGCAAGAUGAUCUAUCAGGCUGUAUAAUUAUUAUUAUUUAUUUUUUUUACAAUUUAAAGAUAAAUAAAUUGUAU